This 73-nucleotide transfer RNA is filed under the name bacterium. RNAcentral's name for it is "tRNA-Val". It matches the Rfam family "tRNA". From Rfam's summary of the family: Transfer RNA (tRNA) molecules are approximately 80 nucleotides in length. Their secondary structure includes four short double-helical elements and three loops (D, anti-codon, and T loops). Further hydrogen bonds mediate the characteristic L-shaped molecular structure. tRNAs have two regions of fundamental functional importance: the anti-codon, which is responsible for specific mRNA codon recognition, and the 3' end, to which the tRNAs corresponding amino acid is attached (by aminoacyl-tRNA synthetases). tRNAs cope with the degeneracy of the genetic code in two manners: having more than one tRNA (with a specific anti-codon) for a particular amino acid; and 'wobble' base-pairing, i.e. permitting non-standard base-pairing at the 3rd anti-codon position. The record is from RNAcentral.
GGGCGGUUAGCUCAGUUGGUAGAGCGCUUCAUUUACACUGAAGAUGUCAGGGGUUCGAGCCCUCUACCGCCCA